This 725-nucleotide ribosomal RNA is filed under the name uncultured bacterium. Its description in RNAcentral is "bacterial SSU rRNA". It matches the Rfam family "Bacterial small subunit ribosomal RNA", at positions 8 to 704 of the family's 1533-position model. The record is from RNAcentral.
AGAGUUUGAUCCUGGCUCAGGACGAACGCUGGCGGCGUGCCUAAUACAUGCAAGUCGAACGCUUCUUUUCUACCGAGUGCUUGCACUCACUUGAAAAGAGGAGUGGCGGACGGGUGAGUAACACGUGGGUAACCUACCCAUCAGAGGGGGAUAACACUUGGAAACAGGUGCUAAUACCGCAUAAUAGUCGACAUCGCAUGGUGUUGAUUUGAAAGACGCUUUCGGGUGUCACUGAUGGAUGGACCCGCGGUGCAUUAGCUAGUUAGUGAGGUAACGGCUCACCAAGGCCAUGAUGCAUAGCCGACCUGAGAGGGUGAUCGGCCACACUGGGACUGAGACACGGCCCAGACUCCUACGGGAGGCAGCAGUAGGGAAUCUUCGGCAAUGGACGAAAGUCUGACCGAGCAACGCCGCGUGAGUGAAGAAGGUUUUCGGAUCGUAAAACUCUGUUGUUAGAGAAGAACAAGUAGGAGAGUAACUGCUCUUACCUUGACGGUAUCUAACCAGAAAGCCACGGCCAACUACGUGCCAGCAGCCGCGGUAAUACGUAGGUGGGCAAGCGUUGUCCGGAUUUAUUGGGCGUAAAGCGAGCGCAGCGGUUUCUUAAGUCUGAUGUGAAAGCCCCUCGGCUCAACCGGGGAGGGUCAUUGGAAACUGGGAGACUUGAGUGCAGAGAGGAGAGUGGAAUUUCAUGUGUAGCGGUGAAAUGCGUAGAUAUAUGGAGG